GGAAAAAAAAAGGAAAAAUGAGUAGGAAAGGAAGAGUGCCUCUUUACUUAAUGUGUUUCCAAAAGAAACAAAUACUCAUCUUUUUGUACUAUGCUACCUCGGUUUUGCUUUGCCAGGCAUCUCACUACUCUCCACUGCUGGAAAGAUCCUCGCCCGUGUUAUACUCAACAGACUCCUGUCAUCUGUUUCAGAGCAGAACCUGCCUGAAUCACAAUUUGGCUUCCGACCAGAUCGCAGCACCAUCGACAUGGUCUUCACGGUGAGGCAAAUGCAGGAAAAGUGCCUUGAGCAGAACCUAAGUCUCUAUAUUGUCUUCAUAGACCUGACAAAGGCUUUCGACACAGUGAACAGGGACGCAUUGUGGGUGAUCCUUAGCAAGCUUGGUUGCCCAACAAAAUUCAUCAAACUGAUCAAACUCUUUCAUGUCGACAUGACAGGGGAAGUCCUAUCUGGUAGAGAGACUUCCAGUCGCUUCAACAUCUCCAAUGGCAUGAAACAAGGCUGUGUCCUCACUCCAGUGCUAUUCAACCUAUUUUUCACCCAAAUAUUACGACAUGCUUUGAUGGAUCUAGACCUGGGCAUCUACAUCAAAUACCGACUGGAUGGCUCACUAUUCGACCUUUGCCACCUGACUGCAAAAACAAAGACAACAGAGAGACUCAUCCUGGAAGCUCUCUUCCCAGAUGACUGUGCUCUCAUGGCCCACCAAGAAAAUCAUCUCCAAACCAUUGUGGACAGGUUCUCCACCGCAACAAAACUCUUUGGCCUGACUAUCAGCCUCAGCAAAACAGAGGUACUGUUCCAACCUGCACCAGGGAGGCCAACUAACCAGCCAUGCAUUACAAUCGAUGGCACGCAGCUUUCUAACGUCAACACUUUCAAGUACCUGGGCAGCACCAUCACCAACGACGGGUCCCUAGACCACGAGAUUAAUGCCAGAAUCCAAAAGGCCAGCUAACCACUCAGGCGGCUGUGCUGCAAAGUCCUCCAACACAGAGGUGUAAGCACUGCGAUAAA
This 1017-nucleotide long non-coding RNA is filed under the name Monodelphis domestica (gray short-tailed opossum). RNAcentral's name for it is "lncRNA (ENSMODG00000042707.1)". Lineage: Eukaryota; Metazoa; Chordata; Mammalia; Didelphimorphia; Didelphidae. The record is from RNAcentral.